Molecule: long non-coding RNA, 318 nt
Organism: Bombina bombina (fire-bellied toad)
Lineage: Eukaryota; Metazoa; Chordata; Amphibia; Anura; Bombinatoridae
Exons: 3
Source: RefSeq, a predicted model, not a curated record
GACACAGACAGGUUACUGAGCUCUGGGCACAUAUCUAGUGAGGUCUGUACAGUAAGUCACACUGAUGGCACCAGCAUUAUACAGGCUCAGAUAUUAAAGAAUGUAUUAAUUUUCUUGGACUCAUCUUAUGUUUUAAUUUCAGAACCCAAGAAGUCCCAGACCAACCUGAUCAUUAUUGUUGCUGUUGGAGUUUUUGUGCUUAUUGCUGCUGCUGCUGCUGGUGGUGGAUACUUUAUAUACAGGAAAAAGAAUCCUUAUACAAAGGCUCAAAAUAAGGAUAAUGAUUCCUCCCCAGCUUCAUCCACCACUGCCUGAGAG